AUGAUCAAAUCAAGCUGAAACACUUGUUCCCGUUCGAUCACUGAAGUUAAGAAGUGCCAAGCUCAGUUGGUAAUUGGAUGGGGGACUACUCAGGAACACUAGGUAGUGUAA
Acanthosepion pharaonis is the source of this 111-nucleotide non-coding RNA. Lineage: Eukaryota; Metazoa; Mollusca; Cephalopoda; Sepiida; Sepiidae. The record is from the annotation of a GenBank genome assembly.